ACAAUAGAGGCGCGCCUCACGAUGAGUAUCUGCUCCCGCAAUGACUUGCUGGUCAGAGAGCGGAGAAAGGCGUAGGCGCCGAAGCGGAUCGCCGCAGCAACGGCGCUCUGCUGGGCUAUAGGAGAACAUCCUGUAGACUGUCGCACCUAUUUGUGCGGAGCGCUAUUA
This 168-nucleotide non-coding RNA is filed under the name human gut metagenome. RNAcentral's name for it is "Lysine riboswitch". It matches the Rfam family "Lysine riboswitch aptamer". Rfam says of the family: Riboswitches are metabolite binding domains within certain messenger RNAs that serve as precision sensors for their corresponding targets. Allosteric rearrangement of mRNA structure is mediated by ligand binding, and this results in modulation of gene expression. The record is from RNAcentral.